Molecule: ribosomal RNA, 865 nt
Filed under: Cercospora capsicigena
Lineage: Eukaryota; Fungi; Ascomycota; Dothideomycetes; Mycosphaerellales; Mycosphaerellaceae
Description: eukaryotic LSU rRNA
Rfam family: Eukaryotic large subunit ribosomal RNA
Source: RNAcentral
ACAUAAGCGGAGGAAAAGAAACCAACAGGGAUUGCCCUAGUAACGGCGAGUGAAGCGGCAACAGCUCAAAUUUGAAAUCUGGCGCAAGCCCGAGUUGUAAUUUGUAGAGGAUGCUUCUGGGUAGCGACCGAUCUAAGUUCCUUGGAACAGGACGUCAUAGAGGGUGAGAAUCCCGUAUGUGACCGGCCCGCACCCUUUACGUAGCUCCUUCGACGAGUCGAGUUGUUUGGGAAUGCAGCUCUAAAUGGGAGGUAAAUUUCUUCUAAAGCUAAAUACCGGCCAGAGACCGAUAGCGCACAAGUAGAGUGAUCGAAAGAUGAAAAGUACUUUGGAAAGAGAGUUAAAAAGCACGUGAAAUUGUUGAAAGGGAAGCGCCUGCAACCAGACUUCGCGGCAGUGUUCCGCCGGUCUUCUGACCGGUUCAUUCUCUGUCGCGAGGCCAUCAUCGUCUGGGCCCGCCGGAUAAGACCUGAGGAAUGUGGCUCCCCCUCGGGGGAGUGUUAUAGCCUCUGGUGAUGCGGCGUGGCUCGGGCGAGGUCCGCGCUUCGGCAAGGAUGAUGGCGUAAUGGUUGUCGGCGGCCCGUCUUGAAACACGGACCAAGGAGUCUAACAUCUAUGCGAGUGUUCGGGUGUCAAACCCCUACGCGUAAUGAAAGUGAACGGAGGUGGGAACCGCAAGGUGCACCAUCGACCGAUCCUGAUGUCCUCGGAUGGAUUUGAGUAAGAGCAUAGCUGUUGGGACCCGAAAGAUGGUGAACUAUGCCUGAAUAGGGUGAAGCCAGAGGAAACUCUGGUGGAGGCUCGCAGCGGUUCUGACGUGCAAAUCGAUCGUCAAAUUUGGGUAUAGGUGCGAAAGACUAAUCGA